UACAGAGGUCCCAAGCGUUGUUCGGAUUCACUGGGCGUAAAGGGUGCGCAGGUGGGUUGGCAAGUUCGAUGUGAAAGCCCCGGGCUUAACCCGGGAAUGGCAUUGGAAACUGCUGAUCUGGAGGAUCGGAGGGGGGACUGGAAUUCUUGGUGUAGCAGUGAAAUGCGUAGAUAUCAAGAGGAACACCAGUGGCGAAGGCGAGUCCCUGGACGAUACCUGACACUGAGGCACGAAAGUGUGGGGAUCAAAC
This 250-nucleotide ribosomal RNA is filed under the name uncultured bacterium. Its description in RNAcentral is "partial 16S ribosomal RNA". It matches the Rfam family "Bacterial small subunit ribosomal RNA", at positions 524 to 773 of the family's 1533-position model. The record is from RNAcentral.